Molecule: ribosomal RNA, 1152 nt
Filed under: Salmonella enterica subsp. enterica serovar Paratyphi C
Lineage: Bacteria; Pseudomonadati; Pseudomonadota; Gammaproteobacteria; Enterobacterales; Enterobacteriaceae
Description: partial 23S ribosomal RNA
Rfam family: Bacterial large subunit ribosomal RNA
Source: RNAcentral
UACCAGCUGGCUGCAACUGUUUAUUAAAAACACAGCACUGUGCAAACACGAAAGUGGACGUAUACGGUGUGACGCCUGCCCGGUGCCGGAAGGUUAAUUGAUGGGGUCAGCGCAAGCGAAGCUCCUGAUCGAAGCCCCGGUAAACGGCGGCCGUAACUAUAACGGUCCUAAGGUAGCGAAAUUCCUUGUCGGGUAAGUUCCGACCUGCACGAAUGGCGUAAUGAUGGCCAGGCUGUCUCCACCCGAGACUCAGUGAAAUUGAACUCGCUGUGAAGAUGCAGUGUACCCGCGGCAAGACGGAAAGACCCCGUGAACCUUUACUAUAGCUUGACACUGAACAUUGAGCCUUGAUGUGUAGGAUAGGUGGGAGGCUUUGAAGCGUGGACGCCAGUCUGCGUGGAGCCGACCUUGAAAUACCACCCUUUAAUGUUUGAUGUUCUAACGUGGACCCGUGAUCCGGGUUGCGGACAGUGUCUGGUGGGUAGUUUGACUGGGGCGGUCUCCUCCUAAAGAGUAACGGAGGAGCACGAAGGUUGGCUAAUCCUGGUCGGACAUCAGGAGGUUAGUGCAAUGGCAUAAGCCAGCUUGACUGCGAGCGUGACGGCGCGAGCAGGUGCGAAAGCAGGUCAUAGUGAUCCGGUGGUUCUGAAUGGAAGGGCCAUCGCUCAACGGAUAAAAGGUACUCCGGGGAUAACAGGCUGAUACCGCCCAAGAGUUCAUAUCGACGGCGGUGUUUGGCACCUCGAUGUCGGCUCAUCACAUCCUGGGGCUGAAGUAGGUCCCAAGGGUAUGGCUGUUCGCCAUUUAAAGUGGUACGCGAGCUGGGUUUAGAACGUCGUGAGACAGUUCGGUCCCUAUCUGCCGUGGGCGCUGGAGAACUGAGGGGGGCUGCUCCUAGUACGAGAGGACCGGAGUGGACGCAUCACUGGUGUUCGGGUUGUCAUGCCAAUGGCACUGCCCGGUAGCUAAAUGCGGAAGAGAUAAGUGCUGAAAGCAUCUAAGCACGAAACUUGCCCCGAGAUGAGUUCUCCCUGAGACUUUAGGUCUCCUGAAGGAACGUUGAAGACGACGACGUUGAUAGGCCGGGUGUGUAAGCGCAGCGAUGCGUUGAGCUAACCGGUACUAAUGAACCGUGAGGCUUAACCUUACAAC